This 492-nucleotide ribosomal RNA is filed under the name uncultured bacterium. RNAcentral describes it as "partial 16S ribosomal RNA". It matches the Rfam family "Bacterial small subunit ribosomal RNA", at positions 29 to 507 of the family's 1533-position model. The record is from RNAcentral.
AGUGAACGCUGGCGGUAGGCCUAACACAUGCAAGUCGAACGGCAGCACAGUAAGAGCUUGCUCUUACGGGUGGCGAGUGGCGGACGGGUGAGGAAUACAUCGGAAUCUACUUUUUCGUGGGGGAUAACGUAGGGAAACUUACGCUAAUACCGCAUACGACCUACGGGUGAAAGCAGGGGAUCUUCGGACCUUGCGCGAUUGAAUGAGCCGAUGUCGGAUUAGCUAGUUGGCGGGGUAAAGGCCCACCAAGGCGACGAUCCGUAGCUGGUCUGAGAGGAUGAUCAGCCACACUGGAGCUGAGACACGGUCCAGACUCCUACGGGAGGCAGCAGUGGGGAAUAUUGGACAAUGGGCGCAAGCCUGAUCCAGCCAUACCGCGUGGGUGAAGAAGGCCUUCGGGUUGUAAAGCCCCUUUGUUGGGAAAGAAAAGCAGCAGGUUAAUACCCCGCUGUUCUGACGGUACCCAAAGAAUAAGCACCGGCUAACUUCGUG